Molecule: transfer RNA, 72 nt
Organism: Rosellinia necatrix
Lineage: Eukaryota; Fungi; Ascomycota; Sordariomycetes; Xylariales; Xylariaceae
Rfam family: tRNA
About the family: Transfer RNA (tRNA) molecules are approximately 80 nucleotides in length.
Source: Rfam
GGUGCCAUCGUAUAGUGGUUAGUACAGCGUGUUGUGGCCGCGCAAACAUGGGUUCGAUUCCCAUUGGCGCCA